Molecule: ribosomal RNA, 363 nt
Filed under: uncultured bacterium
Lineage: Bacteria
Description: bacterial SSU rRNA
Rfam family: Bacterial small subunit ribosomal RNA
Source: RNAcentral
GUAGGGACCAAGCGUUGUUCGGAUUUACUGGGCGUAAAGGGCGCGUAGGCGGCGUGUUAAGUCAGCUGUGAAAUCUCCAAGCUUAACUUGGAACGGUCAGCUGAUACUGAUGUGCUAGAGUGCAGAAGGGGCAAUCGGAAUUCUUGGUGUAGCGGUGAAAUGCGUAGAUAUCAAGAGGAACACCUGAGGUGAAGACGGGUUGCUGGGCUGACACUGACGCUGAGGCGCGAAAGCUAGGGUAGCAAACGGGAUUAGAUACCCCGGUAGUUCUAGCCCUAAACGAUGAAUACUUGGUGUCUGGAGUUUAUAUCCUCCGGGUGCCGUCRCKAACGUUUUAAGUAUUCCGCCUGGGGAGUACGCACU